This 450-nucleotide ribosomal RNA is filed under the name uncultured bacterium. RNAcentral describes it as "partial 16S ribosomal RNA". It matches the Rfam family "Bacterial small subunit ribosomal RNA", at positions 338 to 795 of the family's 1533-position model. The record is from RNAcentral.
CCUACGGGGGGCAGCAGUCGAGAAUUUUUGGCAAUGGGCGAAAGCCUGACCAAGCGAUGCCGCGUGCGGGAUGAAGGCCUUCGGGUUGUAAACCGCUGUCAGUGGGGAGGAAAGCUUUGCGAAGAGCAAGGCUUGACCUAUCUGCAGAGGAAGUGUGGGCUAAGUUCGUGCCAGCAGCCGCGGUAAGACGAACCACACAAAGGAUAUUCGGGGCUACUGGGCUUACAGGGUGCGGCAGAAGCGCAGAUAGGAAAUCCCUCGGCUCAACCGAGGAACUGCGCCCAAAACUACUGUGCUUGAGGAAGAUAGAGGUAAGCGGAACUUACGGUGGAGCGGUGAAAUGCGUUGAUAUCGUAAGGAACACCUGUGGCGAAAGCGGCUUACUGGGUCUUUUCUGACGCUGAUGCACGAAAGCUAGGGGAGCAAACGGGAUUAGAUACCCCUGUAGUC